Molecule: non-coding RNA, 27 nt
Filed under: Homo sapiens (human)
Lineage: Eukaryota; Metazoa; Chordata; Mammalia; Primates; Hominidae
Source: RNAcentral
UCCAGCAAGUGCCAAUGGUUGAGAUUG